Molecule: long non-coding RNA, 1576 nt
Filed under: Triticum aestivum (bread wheat)
Lineage: Eukaryota; Viridiplantae; Streptophyta; Magnoliopsida; Poales; Poaceae
Description: long non-coding RNA (TAES_LNC017382)
Source: RNAcentral
GCGAAGGUGGAUGCCCUGACUGCCGAUCACCAAGGUGAGCUCCAAUUUUUGUUGAUGUGCAGUUUGUUGGUCGGACGCCACCUAAGCUAUGAAGUUCUACCCAAUAUGAGUUGUUUGUUGUGAGCUCUGUAGUGUUGUGUCCUUUAAAGUGGGCAUGUUAGGCUUGUUGUAGACAGUGCUAUGCUUGUUGCUAGCGAUUGAUUGCUAGAUGUGCUAUGAUUGUUACAGACAGUGGGAAUGGUAACUACUAACGAAUUUUGAUUCAGUUGGUUAGUUACUAUAAGCAAGAACACGUUAUAAGCGUCAAAAUGCUAGAGAGAAAAGUUCAAGAGCCAAGAACAGAAUAGGGUCGUUGACUUGGUUAGCCUCUUUGAUGUAAUAAAUUGGUGUUGGUGGGUCCAUGUGGCUGGAGAACCCUUUUUCUCCAAAAGUCGGCAGUGUCGUGCUCAUCGUCGUUGACUGCAUCUUCAACCUCCAGAUGCCGCUUCCGUACACUGCUUUGUCAACCUCAGCCGUGACCCUUCCUCCCGGUCGCCGUGUUUAAUAUCCUACUCGUCGGCCGCCGAUCUCGAGCACCACGAGCGAAGGUGGAUGCCCUAACUGCCGAUCACCAAGGUGAGCUCCAAUUUUGGUUGAUGUGCAGUUUGUUGGUCAGACGCCACCUAAGCUGUGAAGUUCUACCCAAUAUGAACUGUUUGUUGUGAGCUCUGUAGUGUUGUAUCCUUUAAAAGCGGGCAUGUUAGGCUUGUUGUAGACAGUGCUAUGCUUGUUGCUAGCGAUUGAUUGCUAGAUGUGCUAUGAUUGUUACAGACAGUGGAAAUGGUAACUACUAACGAAUUUUGAUUCAGUUGGUUAGUUACUAUAAGCAAGAACACGUUAUAAGCGCCAAAAUGCUAGAGAGAAAAGUUCAAGAGCCAAGAACAGAACAGGGUCGUUGACUUGGUUAGCCUCUUUGAUGUAAUAAAUUGGUGUUGGUGGGUCCAUGUGGCUGGAGAACCCUUUUUCUCCAAAGGUCGGCAGUGUUGUGCUCGUCGUACACGACGGCAUGGUGGUGCUCAACUUAUGGGAGUAGGUUGGCAACCACCGCCUCUUGGAACAUCUAAAUAAUCACAUUUUGCUGAUAUUUUUCUUCUGAUUGAUGAUUGAUUCAAUUUGCACGGAGCAAUUCUGGAGGAAAUAGUACAAGCUGACUCUAAAUCAUUUCUUAGCUGGUCAAUCAUGUAAUUAGAAAGCAAAAAUAAGCUACCAAAAUGAUAUAGCUUGAUAGAGAAGUUUGGAAUAUUAACCUCCUGGUUUAGUUACCCAGGCAAUGGAGAUCCCACACAAUUUUUUGAACUCCCAUGCAGAUUAUUAUGACAAGUUGCUUGGUAUCUGACAAUCUGCUUGUCCUUCUGCUAUGCAUUUUCAGAAACUCCGCGGAAAGCUGCUGCAGAUAGGUGUUGUGCUGGUAUAUUCUUUCUGUAGCCUUUGUUCAGGUAAAUCAGACCAAGACUUGGAGACUAUAGAUAGCCACUCUUUUUUACCAACCUUUGUUUUUGUUAAUAAUGAGUCUGACAAUGAAGUGACUACAUCUCCA